CGCGUAGGUGGUUUGUUAAGCGAGAUGUGAAAGCCCCGGGCUUAACCUGGGAACGGCAUUUCGAACUGGCAGGCUAGAGUGUGGUAGAGGGUAGUGGAAUUUCCUGUGUAGCGGUGAAAUGCGUAGAUAUAGGAAGGAACACCAGUGGCGAAGGCGGCUACCUGGACCAACACUGACACUGAGGUGCGAAAGCGUGGGGAGCAAACG
Molecule: ribosomal RNA, 207 nt
Filed under: uncultured bacterium
Lineage: Bacteria
Description: partial 16S ribosomal RNA
Rfam family: Bacterial small subunit ribosomal RNA
Source: RNAcentral